This 670-nucleotide ribosomal RNA is filed under the name Delphinium favargeri. Its description in RNAcentral is "eukaryotic LSU rRNA". The stretch from base 263 to 418 matches the Rfam family "5.8S ribosomal RNA". The record is from RNAcentral. Lineage: Eukaryota; Viridiplantae; Streptophyta; Magnoliopsida; Ranunculales; Ranunculaceae.
AAGGAUCUAAACUUAAAACCUGCCCAGCAGAGCGACCGAAUGAGUGAAAAUAUGCACGUGCGAUUCGAGGAGGGGCGUGCCCCCGAUCGUCCGUCCAUCGGACCACGGUCCCCCGCCACGACCGCACCGAAAGGGAGACCGCAGGGCGGGCCGGUGUUUCCGAACUAAAAUAAAAACGGCGCUACAAGCGCAAAGGAAAUCUUGGCGAAAACAGGGGGUCACACCGUUCACUGAAGCAGCCUUCGAAAUCUAAUACUCGAACGACUCUGGACAAUGGAUAUCUUGGCUCUUGCAUGGAUGAAGAACAUAGCGAAAUGCGAAACUUGGUGUGAAUUGCANAAUCCCACGAACCAUCGAGUCUUUGAACAGAAGUUGCGCCUGAGGCCACUAGUUCAAGGGCACGUCUGCCUGGGCGUCACACACAGCGUCGUACCUCGCCAACCACGUUGUCAGGGAGCGGGAAUUGCCCCCGGGCCCUUGAGGGAACGGUCGACACAAAUGUUGGUCCCCGACGGCGAGCGUCACGGUCAGCGGUAUUUGUACUACUCACCCUCGAAGACAUCAAGACGCGCUGCUCUGUUGCACGACGGGACAAACGAACCCAUGGAACCGCCUCACGCAGCAUCCAUCCUACGACCAUGGAUCAGGCGGGACUACCUACUGAGUUUAA